RNAcentral lists this ribosomal RNA (1401 nucleotides) under metagenome. RNAcentral's name for it is "bacterial SSU rRNA". It matches the Rfam family "Bacterial small subunit ribosomal RNA". The record is from RNAcentral.
AGAGUUUGAUCAUGGCUCAGGAUGAACGCUGGCGGUGUGCCUUAGGCAUGCAAGUCGAACGAACCGGCUUCGGUCGGUGAGUGGCGGACGGGUGAGUAACGCGUGGGUAUCUACCCUCUGGUGGGGAAUUACUUACCGAAAGGUAAGCUAAUACCGCAUAAUCUCUUCGGAGCAAAGGGCUUAACAGCCCGCCGUUGGAGGAGCCCGCGUCCUAUCAGCUUGUUGGUGGGGUACUGGCCUACCAAGGCGAUGACGGGUAGCUGGUCUGAGAGGACGAUCAGCCACAGAACCACUGAGAUACGGGGUUCACAUCUACGGAUGGCAGCAACCGGGAAUAUUGCGCAAUGGACGAAAGUCUGACGCAGCGACACCGCGUGGGGGAUGAAGGCCUUCGGGUUGUAAACUCCUUUUAAUUCACCGUCGAGGUGAAUGGAAUAAGUACCUGCAAACUACGUGCCAGCAGCCGCGGUAAUACGUAGGGUACAAGCGUUAUCCGGAUUUAUUGGGCGUAAAGGGUUUCGUAGGCGGUUUGGUAAGUAGCGGGUUAAAGGCCCAGGCUCAACUUGGGGAAAGCUCGUUAAACUGCCAGACUAGAAAGUUGUCGGGGAAGCUGGAAUUCUGCAUGUAGGGGUGAAAUCCGUUGAGAUGCAGAAGAACACCGAGGGCGAAGGCAGGCUUCUAGGCAAAUUUUGACGCUCAGGAACGAAAGCUAGGGUAGCGAAAGGGAUUAGAGACCCCUGUAGUCCUAGCCGUAAACGAUGUCCGCUAGUUUCCCGACUUUUAAAGUUGGGGGACGUAAGCUAACGCGUUAAGCGGACCGCCUGGGAAUUACGGCCGCAAGGCUAAAACUCAAAUGAAUUGACGGGGAGACGCACAACCAGUGGAGCAUGUGGUUUAAUUCGAUACGAAGCGUAGAACCUUACCUGGACUUGACAUGCUAGUUGCUACCCCCGGGAAACCGGGGUUCCUUCGAGGGUACUAGCACAGCUGCUGCAUGGCUAUUGUCAGCUCGUGUCGUGGGAUGUUCCCUUAAGUGGGGUAACGAGCGCAACCCUUGCCUUGUGUUAGAUUUGUCACAAGGGACUGCUCUGGUUUUACCAGGGAGGAAGGAGAGGACGACUUUAAGUCAGCAUGGUGUUUAUGUCCAGGGCGACACACAUCCUACAAUGGGUGGGACAGCGGGUUGCUAAACCGUAAGGUGGAGCCAAUCCUUAAAACCCAUCCCCAGUUCGGAUUGAGGGCUGAAAUUCGCCCUCAUGAAGUUGGAAUUGGUAGUAAUCGCGGGUCAGCAGACCGCGGUGAAUACGUUCUCGUCUCUUGUACACACCGCCCGUCAAUUGAAGAAAGUUGGGGGUGGCCGAAAUCUUCACUUUGUGAGGCCUAAGCCAAACUCAGCGAUCA